UAAAGGUUUGGUCCUAGCCUUUUUAUUAGUUUCUAGCAAACUUAUACAUGCAAGUCUCAGCCCCCCAGUGAAAAUGCCCUUUAAUCCUAUUUAUGGAUAACAGGAGCUGGUAUCAAGCCCACAUUAGUAGCUCAUGACACCUUGCUUAGCCACACCCCCACGGGUAACAGCAGUAACAAAAAUUAAGCAAUAAACGAAAGUUUGACUUAGUUAUGCUAUUUAGAGGCGGUCAACUUCGUGCCAGCCACCGCGGUCAUACGAAGGACUCAAACUAAUAAAUUUCGGCGUAAAGCGUGAUUAAGACAGCACAACAGUAAAAUUAAAGCCUUUUUAUACUGUAAAAAGCUCGAAAAAGCGCCUCAAAUAAACUACGAAAGUGAUUUUAUAACCUCUGAACCCACGAUAGCUAGGACACAAACUGGGAUUAGAUACCCCACUAUGCUUAGCCCUAAACCUAGAUUAAACCAAAACAACAUUAUCCGCCAGAGAACUACAAGCCAAAGCUUAAAACUUAAAGGACUUGGCGGUGCUUCAUAUCCACCUAGAGGAGCCUGUUAUAUAAUCGAUAAACCCCGUUAUACCCCACCAUUACUCGCUAAAUCAGUCUAUAUACCGCCAUCUUCAGCAAACCCUAAAAAGGUAAAAUAGUAAGCCUAAUAAUCUCACACAUAAAAACGUUAGGUCAAGGUGUAACCUAUGUAAUGGACACUAAUGGGCUACAUUUUCUCCCCCCAGAAUAAAUCUUUACGAAAACCCUUAUGAAAUUUUCCUUAACGGUUAAAGGAGGAUUUAGAAGUAAACUUAGAGUAGAGUGCUAAGUUGAAACCGGCCAUGAAGCACGCACACACCGCCCGUCACCCUCCUCAAUCUACUACACAAUGUAAACUACCUAAAAAUUACAUCACCACAACCUUAGAGGAGACAAGUCGUAACAAGGUAAGCAUACUGGAAAGUGUGCUUGGAAACCC
Molecule: non-coding RNA, 968 nt
Filed under: Oryzorictes hova (Hova rice tenrec)
Lineage: Eukaryota; Metazoa; Chordata; Mammalia; Afrosoricida; Tenrecidae
Description: partial 12S ribosomal RNA
Rfam family: Bacterial small subunit ribosomal RNA
Source: RNAcentral